Molecule: long non-coding RNA, 1531 nt
Filed under: Betta splendens (Siamese fighting fish)
Lineage: Eukaryota; Metazoa; Chordata; Actinopteri; Anabantiformes; Osphronemidae
Description: lncRNA (ENSBSLG00000007083.1)
Source: RNAcentral
GUCUGCUGAACCCGAGGACCGAGCGGCCGGUUAAGUAGGACGGACGCGUUGGACUGUACCAACGCAGAGGGGAGUCCCUGAGAAGACGCACGAGAGACACGACAGCAGAGGAAUCAGCGGGGAGAGGAAGCGCUCCCAGUAAUUAGCCCGACACCAGGAAGUCAGGAGCAGAAUGCGCUGAAUAUGAAAACGAAUCAUCUGACUGAUGAUUCACAUCUACUGACUGCAUUGUGAGCUACAACUCAUUGUGUUGGUCUUUCCUGCGUGUCAUCGUUUGUUUUAAAUGGAUCAGACCUUCUAUUAAACGCCCGUGAGGUCACGUGCAGCUUUCCUAUUGUUGAUUUGGACUCUAGGUGGAGCAAUCAGCUCCUAAUUGCCUGUUAAACUCCACAGAGCGGUGACAUAGUGUACAGUACACACACACACACACACACACACACACACACACACACACAAACACACACACACACACGCACACACACACACACACAAACACACACACACGCACACACGCACCUAUUUAAUCUGCUCUUCAUCCCUUUCUAACAUGAAGUGAGAGUUUUCAUACUCAGCCCAGGAUUCGUGCUGCCACUUAAUAGCUGCAUCCAUCAAGGAGCGUCAACACUGGAGCGUGUUUCCAUUCAGUCGCUGGCUCUUCCCAACUGUAGCACGCCCGCUGAGGCGACGCCGAGCGCAUCCCUCGCGCGCCGUCGCUCCCCUCUCUCUAAUACCCUCCCCCUCCCCCUCCUCCUCCUCCUCCUCCUCCAUCUCUCCCCCCUCUCCCCUCCCUCACUCUCAGUGUCUUGCUCGGAGCAGUUCGUUCAGCAGAGCAGUAUAACAGCGUGGGGUGCGCGCGCGCGCGUGUGUGUGUGUGUGUGUGUUUGCCGUGGCACGCCUGCCUCCAAAGUAGUGAUCGCAGUCGCAGCGCGGAGGGACCGACGGGCAGAGAGCAAGGGGGGAGAGAGAGAGAGCGAGAGGCGUCCAGAAGCAGCAGUGAGCGGACAGAGAGAGAGAGAGAGGAACGCUCCUGACCACCACAGAGGGAUGCUGACGGUCCAACAGGUCCUCCCCACGAUUUGUCUGCACCUUGGCUACAGACAACCCACGCUGCUGUAACAGGUACGCUCGGUUUCACCAGCUGUUUCUACCAAUUACAAUAAUGGGAUUGUUAAAAUUGUUAUCAAGGUGUUAAAGUAUCCAAAAGAGGGUGUGAGAUACAAUAGUUUCUGACGAGAAUGUAUGUUCCAUUGAACAUGGAGUGAAUUAGAAGCACUGGUCUGCACCGAAUGAAGCCAAGUACAGGUGUAGAAGAGGAACUAACUUUGUUCUCUGGAAAAUACAGCUGCUCUACUUCUGGGUCUCUACAGUCCUAUUUUCUAACUUUGCGUUUUAUAGUUAAGGCCUAUGAAUUGUUAAGGGGCUUUAUCAGCCUGAGGACAUUUCUAUCCCACAAAAAUCCUUCAAUACAAGAAAUUGAAAAUCCCUUUUGCAUAUUGUUACUAUACCAUUCAUUGGUAAAACUAAAGAGAAG